This 200-nucleotide long non-coding RNA is filed under the name Musa acuminata (dwarf banana). RNAcentral describes it as "long non-coding RNA (MACU_LNC005600)". The record is from RNAcentral. Lineage: Eukaryota; Viridiplantae; Streptophyta; Magnoliopsida; Zingiberales; Musaceae.
GUCGUGCGAAGAUUGGUGCGCAAAAAUCUGCAAAACACAAAACUGCGUAUAGAGAUUGUGUUACCUAGGGAGAUCGUAUAUCCCUGUUUUCUUGUAGAUCCUUAGGAGAGGGUGAAGGAGGUCAAGCGUCCUCCUCUCUAGCGGUGAUCCACAUAGUAGGGUUGCGACGACGCUCCUCAAAACUCCAGGCCUACUCUGAG